This 168-nucleotide ribosomal RNA is filed under the name Bothrocara zestum (western eelpout). RNAcentral describes it as "partial 12S rRNA". Lineage: Eukaryota; Metazoa; Chordata; Actinopteri; Perciformes; Zoarcidae. The record is from RNAcentral.
CACCGCGGUUAUACGAGAGGCCCAAGUUGAAAGACCCCGGCGUAAAGAGUGGUUAAGCUAGAAUUUAUACUAAAGCCGAAUAUCCUCACGGCUGUUAUACGCACCCGAAGAUAAGAAGCUCAGCCACGAAGGUAGCUUUAUUUGUCUGAACCCACGAAAGCUGCGGCA